UCUUUCUUCUUCUCUGUUAUUCCUCUGUUCUUCUUCUGUUCGAGAUUUAGCGAAAAAAGGAGUUCUAAGAUCAUGAGGUUUAAAGAAAUAUCAAGACGCGACUGUUGGUAGUGUUGUGGAUGUCGAUCUGUUGUGAGGAGGAGGAUAAGAAGUGAUGUUCAUAGAGAAUCAAGAGAUUAGGGUUUGAGAUUUGAUUAUUGUUCUAAAGAUUUAAAAAGGUAUAGAGCUAUGGAUAGAUGAAGAACGAACUGGUUGGUGUUUAAUUAACGAUCUGAGGUUGUUUUGAGGCUGGAUUGAAAAGUUAGGGUUUUAUAAGAAGUUCAAGAAGAAUCAGAAGAUGAAAUUGAUAAUUUAGAAGAUUGAUUUGAGAUGGGUUUUAACAGUUUAGGGUUCGGAUGAAAAGUAAUUAGAAAUUGAAGAAGUCAGGGUUCUGAAGCUGGAUUGAUUGAAGCUCAUGACUGAAUCUGUUAACAGAGUGAGGGUUUGAUUGCGUUGGUAAGAAGGUGUUGAAGCUAUUUUUGGUGUGGAUUCAAGACUCGAGAAGAAAGGGCCGGAAGGUGGUGAUGUUACAUAGUCUCAGUUGUAGGUGCAUGGGAUGGAGGUUAUAGUUGUUUUGAAGAUGAUGUUUGAGAUAUCGUGAAGGUUUAAUGUCCUGGUCUGGUAAUGGAAGAAUUGGUUAAUUGGUUCUGUUGUUGAGACUGAUAUUGAAUUACAGAUGAAGUUAGAGUUAGUUUUGUGGUGUGUUUGGUUACUAUAAGAUUUAGUCAGUUGCAGUCUGGUGGGUGUGAAAAUGGUGGAUGUCUGGAAGUGGAAUUGAAGGUGGUAAUGUUUUUGUGUGGGAAUUGAUUUGGUUGGUUUGUAGUUCUGAAGCUAGAGGUGUUCACUUGUGAUUCAGUUAUGGUCGAGUUGAAGAUGAAACUACAUGAAUCAAAAAAUGCUGAAUUUGUUCUGGUGGUGUUGUGGAUUGAUGAUAUUAUAUGAAAGGGAGGUUGAUUUGAAUGAAUUGAGUUUUAGAUGAAUGGUAUGUUAAUUGCAGGUGGUAUAUAAGGAUGAAGGUGUUGUCUGUGUAGUGAAAUUUGAGAUGGAGAUGUAGUUGUAAAGAAGAUGUUGUUAGAAUGGAAAUGGUGCUGUUUUGUUGGCGGAAGUUCAUGGGGAAUGAGUGUAGGUCUGGAAAGUAAUAUUGAAGAGUGUUGCUUAAGUUGAAUUAGAUGUUGCUUAAAGCUGUCAUCCCAGGUAAACUGGGUUUAAUGUUGUUAUUUGAGUUAUGGAGUAUUUUUUUUUGAUUGAAUGUGUUAUAAUGAUUUUGUAGACAUAGAAUUUGUCUAGUAAUGUAAAUGAAGAAGUAAGUAUUGUAGAGUUAA
Molecule: long non-coding RNA, 1361 nt
Organism: Papaver somniferum (opium poppy)
Lineage: Eukaryota; Viridiplantae; Streptophyta; Magnoliopsida; Ranunculales; Papaveraceae
Exons: 2
Source: RefSeq, a predicted model, not a curated record